CCCCACCAAUCCCCCGUCUCCUAAAGCCCCGCACCCCUCCUCCCCUGCUCUCGCACCCCGCGUCGGGCCGCCGCCGUUUCUCUCGGUCUGCUCGGAGGGACGGAGAGGGUGAGUCCAUGGUCAGAUGAGGGAGGAAGACAGAUGACGGGGUGGAUCGGGUACUCGAGGAGGACGCCAAGGCCCAGCAGUCUCCCCCAAAUCUCGUCGCCUCGGGCGUGGAGGCGAGCUUCCCGGCGACGUAGGCGUAGCGCCGCCAAGAGGUCAGCAACGAGGAGGUUCACCAGUCCGUUUCGUCGUCCUCGUCCCUAGGCGUCUGUUGCUGGAGAGAAGGACGCCAAGGCCCAGCAGUUUGUGACGGCCCCACCGGACGACGGACCCGGCGGGACAGCGGGCUCUAGCUUUCUCUCCCUUCUUCUUCAUCUGGACAGAGAAUGACUCUGCUCAGAUGCAUAGUCAGGCAACUCACCGGAGAGAGCUGGGAUGGAGGCGACUCUGAGGAAGAUGAAGGCCAAGAGCGGUGCCGCUGCCGGGGAGAGGAGGCCGGUGCUGUCGAGGACAAUACUGCUCCUCUGCGCCUGCAGCUUCAUCCUUGGCGUGCUCUUCACCGACCGGUUCAGAGCGAUGCCGGAUUUAAAGAGCCAGGUGGUGGCGCAGCUGCGGUGACAGGAAGAGGAGCUGCAGAUCGUUUCUGAAGAUUUUGUUGCGAUCGACAGCAUCCAUUUUUUGGCUCCUGGUUUAUUUCAGAAAAAGAACAAACGAGAAACCAUCCUACGACAGGGACGUGAUGGGGAAGUGGCAAAGACUCAUGAGGCCAUACACAUGGGAUUAGGACGACACACUAUGCCAUGUACACAAAAGGGAGGCAUGGAAGUGGACGUUGAGCAAACAGACGGGGUUCCUCAUCCCCAAGAAAACCCUAGCCUAGCGCUCUGGGAUGAUGUUGGUGAUCGCGCCGGCGCCGGCCUGGGCCCAAAGGCGCGCUUCGUCCUUGAUGGUGGAGCACAGGUGGGAGACAGAGGGUCGGUCCCCGUCGAAGGUGCAGCUGUUUCUAUGCUUCCAAAUCCACCAAGCGGUGAGGAUGAUGAGGGAGGAUAGGCCUUUACGCAUGGCAGCGGGCGCGAGAGCACAAGAAGAGGCCCAACGAUGCAACACCUGCUGGCUGGCUGCUCCUUCUCCCGCCAGGUGUGGUACGAUGUUCUUGCUUGGGCUCGCUUCCCCACCGAUCUGCCGACCGGAGACACCGACUAGAAUAUUGAAAAAUGAUCUGAAUUGUUUGCACUUCUGCGUUAUAUAUCUAUUGGGGGACUAAUUGGUAUAUAUCAUAAUUGUAUCUAGAUAUUUAGACAAGUUGAUCGCCACGCUGCAGAUGGAGUUGGCAGCGCGGUUCAGCAAGCAUGAGCUGCUUGAGAGUGCGGAUGGCAAGGCAGGAAAGGAAAAAGGCUUUUAUGGUGAUCAGGAUCAAUACCGCGUUCAGUAGCAAGAAGCGCCGUGAUUCUGUCAGGGAGAGAUGGAUGCCUCAAGAUGAGAAACUCAAGAAACUGGAAGAGGAAAAGGGAGUCGUCAUUCGAUUUAUGAUUGGGCAUAGCUAUGAGUCAACUGUGCAUGAACUGAAAAGGGAAGAUUGAACAAGUUCUGAGCUGCUAUCUGGAACCAUAAGUAUGCAAGUUUUACAAAAUAGUUUGGAUGAAAAAGCAAAACAAUACAAGGAGCCUGCGUAGAUGCACAUAUUUUUGAUGAAUAACACUCAUUUUAGUGUUAUAUCUCAGCUUGUAUGUCAGUAAGUGUGUAAGUUUAGUCUAAUACUCGCUUUUCUUUUUCCUCAGAUCAAAAGCCAAGGAUUUGUUGGGUGAUAGCUUGAUUCUAAGGCAUUAAUAGAUUUACAACACUUCCAAAAAUUUACUGGCAUUUUGUAUUAUAUUUAUUCAAGUCGCUGAUUGAUUCUUGACCAUCACUUGAUCAACUAUAUUCAUUUUCUAAUACAAAGCCACUUCGCUAAUUAUCUUAUGACUAUUGAAGGGUUUAAAAUAUUCAGGUAUUUCAAGUGACCAACAAGUGUUAUUUCAGUAAUUUGAAAUCUCCUGUAUUCAGAGUUUAGUCAACUCUUAGUCAUGUUCUUUAAUAAUCAUUAGGUCUAAUAAAAGUUUAGAACGAUGCACUAUUUUCCUGAAUUUUGACUAGGCAAGUGCAUCUUUGGUUGCGCCGAUCGGAUCGGAUUCAAUGCGUACAUCGUAUUGAUGGACUGCUGACCGCUUCAUCUGGUGUUUCCUCUGUCGUGUGAGUUGCAUGUUGUUUUGAGAGCUUGAAGCAAGCAGAAAGCCGAUGGAGGGGCUUAGGGAUGAUGAAAGCAUUAGUGACGACAUCAGGCGAGAGAGUAUCGAGACUGCAAAUCGCUUUCCUGUUUCUGCAUUUCUUACUGUAUAUGUAACUUUGGCAGUAUUCAGAUCGUAUAGCCUACGGGGAGCAGUGGAAAACAUAAUUUGUUGAUGCUUAAAAUUUGGAGUGGUAUGUUUGAUACA
Molecule: RNA transcript, 2516 nt
Organism: Triticum aestivum (bread wheat)
Lineage: Eukaryota; Viridiplantae; Streptophyta; Magnoliopsida; Poales; Poaceae
Gene name: probable beta-1,3-galactosyltransferase 2
Exons: 7
Source: RefSeq, a predicted model, not a curated record